UUAAGUCCCGUAACGAGCGCAACCCUUGUCCUUAGUUACCAGCACGUUAUGGUGGGCGACUCUAAGGAGACUGCCGGUGACAAACCGGAGGAAGGUGGGGAUGACGUCAAGUCAUCAUGGCCCUUACGGCCUGGGCUACACACGUGCUACAAUGGUCGGUACAAAGGGUUGCCAAGCCGCGAGGUGGAGCUAAUACCCAUAAAACCGAUCGUAGUCCGGAUCGCAGUCUGCAACUCGACUGCGUGAAGUCGGAAUCGCUAGUAAUCGUGAAUCAGAAUGUCACGGUGAAUACGUUCCCGGGCCUU
Molecule: ribosomal RNA, 305 nt
Filed under: uncultured Pseudomonas sp.
Lineage: Bacteria; Pseudomonadati; Pseudomonadota; Gammaproteobacteria; Pseudomonadales; Pseudomonadaceae
Description: bacterial SSU rRNA
Rfam family: Bacterial small subunit ribosomal RNA
Source: RNAcentral